CCUAGGUCAUAUUUAUUUUACGGAGGCGGUCAUAUACAUGCAAGUCGAGCGGACCGACGGGAGCUUGCUCCCUUAGGUCAGCGGCGGACGGGUGAGUAACACGUGGGUAACCUGCCUGUAAGACUGGGAUAACUCCGGGAAACCGGGGCUAAUACCGGAUGCUUGAUUGAACCGCAUGGUUCAAUCAUGAAAGGCGGCUUCGGCUGCCGUUUACAGAUGGACCCGCGGCGCAUUAGCUAGUUGGUGAGGUAACGGCUCACCAAGGCGACGAUGCGUAGCCGACCUGAGAGGGUGAUCGGCCACACUGGGACUGAGACACGGCCCAGACUCCUACGGGAGGCAGCAGUAGGGAAUCUUCCGCAAUGGACGAAAGUCUGACGGAGCAACGCCGCGUGAGUGAUGAAGGUUUUCGGAUCGUAAAGCUCUGUUGUUAGGGAAGAACAAGUACCGUUCGAAUAGGGCGGUACCUUGACGGUACCUAACCAGAAAGCCACGGCUAACUACGUGCCAGCAGCCGCGGUAAUACGUAGGUGGCAAGCGUUGUCCGGAAUUAUUGGGCGUAAAGCGCGCGCAGGCGGUUUCUUAAGUCUGAUGUGAAAGCCCCCGGCUCAACCGGGGAGGGUCAUUGGAAACUGGGGAACUUGAGUGCAAAAAGGAGAGUGAAUUCCACGUGUAGCGGUGAAAUGCGUAAGAUGUGAGGAACAGCAGUGGCGACGCGACUCUCUGGUCUGUAACUGACGCUGAGCGCGAAAGCGAUGGGGAGCGAACCAGGAUUACAUACGCCUGGUUAGUCCACGCCGUAACGAUGAGUGCUACUGUUAGAGGGUUCCGCCCUUUUACUGCUGCAGCAUACGCAUUAUCACUCGACCUGGCGGAGUACGGUCGCAGGGACUGAAACUCAAGGAUUGACGGGGCCCCGCACAGGCUGUGACCAUGUGUUCAGUCAGCACGCGAGACUUACAGGUCUGACAGUCUCUGAAUCCUAGAGAAUAUGGCGUCCGCUCGGGCAGGAUGACAGUGUGCAUGGAUUUCGUUCACUCAGUACUGAGAGUUUUGAUAAUACGCACGAGGCAGCAUGACUAUGCGACAUUCAUUGGUCACGUCUAAAGUC
RNAcentral lists this ribosomal RNA (1111 nucleotides) under Bacillus sp. (in: firmicutes). RNAcentral's name for it is "bacterial SSU rRNA". It matches the Rfam family "Bacterial small subunit ribosomal RNA", at positions 1 to 1138 of the family's 1533-position model. Lineage: Bacteria; Bacillati; Bacillota; Bacilli; Caryophanales; Bacillaceae. The record is from RNAcentral.